AGGACGAACGCUGGCGGCGUGCUUAACACAUGCAAGUCGAGCGGAAAGGCCCUUCGGGGUACUCGAGCGGCGAACGGGUGAGUAACACGUGAGUAAUCUGCCCCUAGCUCUGGGAUAGCUCCGGGAAAACCGGGAUUAAUACCAGAUACGACCACUUUAGACAUCUGUUGUGGUGGAAAGAAUUUUGGCUAGGGAUGAGCUCGCGGCCUAUCAGCUUGUUGGUGAGGUAACGGCUCACCAAGGCGACGACGGGUAGCCGGCCUGAGAGGGCGACCGGCCACACUGGGACUGAGACACGGCCCAGACUCCUACGGGAGGCAGCAGUGGGGAAUAUUGCGCAAUGGGCGAAAGCCUGACGCAGCGACGCCGCGUGGGGGAUGAAGGCCUUCGGGUUGUAAAGCUCUUUACCCGGGAAGAGUAAUGACUGUACCGGGAGAAGUAAGCCCGGCUAACUCCGCGCCAGCAGCCGC
RNAcentral lists this ribosomal RNA (470 nucleotides) under uncultured bacterium. RNAcentral's name for it is "SSU rRNA". It matches the Rfam family "Bacterial small subunit ribosomal RNA", at positions 26 to 518 of the family's 1533-position model. The record is from RNAcentral.